This 431-nucleotide ribosomal RNA is filed under the name uncultured bacterium. RNAcentral describes it as "partial 16S ribosomal RNA". It matches the Rfam family "Bacterial small subunit ribosomal RNA", at positions 29 to 507 of the family's 1533-position model. The record is from RNAcentral.
AACGAACGCUGGCGGCAGGCUUAACACAUGCAAGUCGAGCGCCCCGCAAGGGGAGCGGCAGACGGGUGAGUAACGCGUGGGAACGUACCUUUUGGUUCGGAACAACUCCGGGAAACUGGAGCUAAUACCGGAUAAGCCCUAACGGGGAAAGAUUUAUCGCCGAAAGAUCGGCCCGCGUCUGAUUAGCUAGUUGGUGAGGUAACGGCUCACCAAGGCGACGAUCAGUAGCUGGUCUGAGAGGAUGAUCAGCCACACUGGGACUGAGACACGGCCCAGACUCCUACGGGAGGCAGCAGUGGGGAAUAUUGGACAAGGGGCGCAAGCCUGAUCCAGCCAUGCCGCGUGAGUGAUGAAGGCCUUAGGGUUGUAAAGCUCUUUUGUACGGGAAGAUAAUGACUGUACCGGAAGAAUAAGCCCCGGCUAACUUCGUG